UGAUAUGUUUGGUAUAUUAGGUUG
Molecule: microRNA, 24 nt
Filed under: Eptatretus burgeri (inshore hagfish)
Lineage: Eukaryota; Metazoa; Chordata; Myxini; Myxiniformes; Myxinidae
Description: Ebu-Mir-190-P5_5p (mature (guide))
Source: RNAcentral